Molecule: ribosomal RNA, 600 nt
Filed under: uncultured bacterium A36
Lineage: Bacteria; Pseudomonadati; Pseudomonadota; Betaproteobacteria; Rhodocyclales; Rhodocyclaceae
Description: bacterial SSU rRNA
Rfam family: Bacterial small subunit ribosomal RNA
Source: RNAcentral
CAUGCAAGUCGAACGGCACCGGGGGUGCUUGCACCUGCCGGCGAGUGGCGAACGGGUGAGUAAUGCAUCGGAACGUACCCAGUCGUGGGGAUAACGCAGCGAAAGCUGUGCUAAUACCGCAUACGUCCUGAGGGAGAAAGCAGGGGAUCUUCGGACCUUGUGCGAUUGGAGCGGCCGAUGUCAGAUUAGCUAGUUGGUGAGGUAAAAGCUCACCAAGGCGACGAUCUGUAGCUGGUCUGAGAGGAUGAUCAGCCACACUGGAACUGAGACACGGUCCAGACUCCUACGGGAGGCAGCAGUGGGGAGUUUUGGACAAUGGGGGCAACCCUGAUCCAGCCAUGCCGCGUGAGUGAAGAAGGCCUUCGGGUUGUAAAGCUCUUUCGGCCGGGAAGAAAUCGUGCAGGCUAAUACCCUGUAUGGAUGACGGUACCGGAAUAAGAAGCACCGGCUAACUACGUGCCAGCAGCCGCGGUAAUACGUAGGGUGCGAGCGUUAAUCGGAAUUACUGGGCGUAAAGCGUGCGCAGGCGGUUUUGUAAGACAGGCGUGAAAUCCCCCGGGCUCAACCUGGGAACUGCGCUUGUGACUGCAAGACUAGAGU